Molecule: transfer RNA, 74 nt
Filed under: Marmota monax (woodchuck)
Lineage: Eukaryota; Metazoa; Chordata; Mammalia; Rodentia; Sciuridae
Description: tRNA.Ala
Source: RNAcentral
GGGUGUGGUUCAGUGGUAGAGUGCUCGCCUAGCAUGCAAUGCACAAGGCACUGGGUUCGAUCCUCAGCACCACA